This 431-nucleotide ribosomal RNA is filed under the name uncultured bacterium. Its description in RNAcentral is "partial 16S ribosomal RNA". It matches the Rfam family "Bacterial small subunit ribosomal RNA", at positions 29 to 507 of the family's 1533-position model. The record is from RNAcentral.
AACGAACGCUGGCGGCAGGCCUAACACAUGCAAGUCGAGCGCCCCGCAAGGGGCGCGGCGGACGGGUGCGUAACGCGUGGGAAUAUGCCCUUUGCUACGGAAUAGUCUCGGGAAACUGGGGGUAAUACCGUAUACGCCCUUUGGGGGAAAGAUUUAUCGGCGAAGGAUUAGCCCGCGUUGGAUUAGGUAGUUGGUGGGGUAAUGGCCUACCAAGCCGACGAUCCAUAGCUGGUUUGAGAGGAUGAUCAGCCACACUGGGACUGAGACACGGCCCAGACUCCUACGGGAGGCAGCAGUGGGGAAUCUUAGACAAUGGGGGCAACCCUGAUCUAGCCAUGCCGCGUGAGUGAUGAAGGCCUUAGGGUUGUAAAGCUCUUUCAGCUGGGAAGAUAAUGACGGUACCAGCAGAAGAAGCCCCGGCUAACUCCGUG